Molecule: unclassified non-coding RNA, 433 nt
Filed under: soil metagenome
Description: partial contains 5.8S ribosomal RNA, internal transcribed spacer 2, and large subunit ribosomal RNA
Rfam family: 5.8S ribosomal RNA (bases 1-120)
Source: RNAcentral
GAUGAAGAACGCAGCGAAAUGCGAUACGUAAUGUGAAUUGCAGAAUUCAGUGAAUCAUCGAAUCUUUGAACGCAUAUUGCGCUCUCUGGUAUUCCGGAGAGCAUGCUUGUUUGAGUAUCAGUAAACACCUCAACUCCCCUUUCUUUUUUUGAAAUGGGAGCUGGACUUGAGUGAUCCCAACGCUUUUCUCACCGAAAAGUGGCGGGUUACUUGAAAUGCAGGUGCAGCUGGACUUUUCUCUGAGCUAAAAGCAUAUCUAUUUAGUCUGCCUAAAAAACAGAUUAUUACCUUUGCUGCAGCUAACAUAAAGGAGAUUAGUUCUUGUGCUGACUGAUGCAGGAUUCACAGAGACAGCUUCGGCUGGCCUUUGUAAACUCGAUCUCAAAUCAAGUAAGACUACCCGCUGAACUUAAGCAUAUCAAUAAGAGGAGGA